AACGUAGGUGGCGAGCGUUAUCCGGAAUUACUGGGCGUAAAGGGUGCGUAGGUGGUUUGGUAAGUAACAUGUGAAAGUCCUGAGCUUAACUUGGGGAUUGCAUGUUAAACUGCGAAGCUAGAGUGUUGUAGAGGAGAGCGGAAUUUCCGGUGUAGUGGUGAAAUGCGUAGAUAUCGGAAGGAACAUCAGUGGCGAAGGCGGCUCUCUGGACAACAACUGACACUGAGGCACGAAAGCGUGGGGAGCAAACAGG
Molecule: ribosomal RNA, 253 nt
Filed under: uncultured prokaryote
Description: partial 16S ribosomal RNA
Rfam family: Bacterial small subunit ribosomal RNA
Source: RNAcentral